This 446-nucleotide ribosomal RNA is filed under the name uncultured organism. RNAcentral describes it as "partial 16S ribosomal RNA". It matches the Rfam family "Bacterial small subunit ribosomal RNA", at positions 333 to 796 of the family's 1533-position model. The record is from RNAcentral.
ACACUCCUACGGGAGGCAGCAGUGGGGAAUAUUGGACAAUGGGCGCAAGCCUGAUCCAGCCAUGCCGCGUGAGUGAUGAAGGCCCUAGGGUUGUAAAGCUCUUUCACCGGUGAAGAUAAUGACGGUAACCGGAGAAGAAGCCCCGGCUAACUUCGUGCCAGCAGCCGCGGUAAUACGAAGGGGGCUAGCGUUGUUCGGAUUUACUGGGCGUAAAGCGCACGUAGGCGGACUAUUAAGUCAGGGGUGAAAUCCCGGGGCUCAACCCCGGAACUGCCUUUGAUACUGGUAGUCUUGAGUUCGAGAGAGGUGUGUGGAAUUCCGAGUGUAGAGGUGAAAUUCGUAGAUAUUCGGAGGAACACCAGUGGCGAAGGCGGCUCACUGGCUCGAUACUGACGCUGAGGUGCGAAAGCGUGGGGAGCAAACAGGAUUAGAUACCCCGGUAGUCC